RNAcentral lists this long non-coding RNA (891 nucleotides) under Homo sapiens (human). Its description in RNAcentral is "HSALNT0308056". The record is from RNAcentral. Lineage: Eukaryota; Metazoa; Chordata; Mammalia; Primates; Hominidae.
GAGGACAGGUCGAGGACAAGCCUGACAUUCCAUCGAGACCCGUAGGAACUGGCCAAAGCCCAGCACCCAAGAGGAAACAUGGCUGGAAGAAGAGAUUGAUUUCAGGAACUGAAUUUCAACUACAGUGUUAUUGGAAAGGAGGCCUAAUCCAGACCCCAAGAGAGAGUUCUUGGAUCUCAUGCAAGAAAGAAUUCACGCAUACCUGUGAGGACAUCUGUAAAGGCGAAGAUCAAACUGAUGAAGAAACUGUCAAGAAAUGCUGUUGAAUCUCAGGUACUAUCGUUGGCCCAUUUUAACAAUUUUAAGGAAUCAGGUUUUGAAAUUUGGUCCACAAAGAAUUAUGUAUUUACUCAUACAUUUUACCCGCAAAUAGUAUAUGUUACCUCCAAAGGAGCAAUGCUGGUUGAAUUAUUUAUAAAAUGAUAAGCUUCUCAAGGAAGCUAUUAAGAGAGAGAAACCAGGGCCUUUUUCCUACACAGUGAUGGUUAAUAAAUCAAAAUAGACACUUUGUUAAUAUGGCUAAAUAUAAUAACAAUACUGACAACUAUAAAAGUCAAAUUAUUACAGAAAACAAAACUAAGUAUCAUAUAAUGCCUUUCUUAUUGAUCUGAGCAGUUCCAGUCAACCCUUACUAAAACUAUUUUUAUUAGAAGAUUUAAGGGUUAUGCUUUUAUUGUUUUCAACUCAUCUUGAAUCUUUCAAGCUGGAGAUUAACUCCCUAGGGACUACUUCUGACUGUGACGCUUUCAGGACAACAUAGUUCAGCCACCUAGAGAUUAUCGACAUGUCGCAAAUAAGAUUCUUUUCUAGGGCUGCUUUCUGGAAAUGAAAGCAGUCUGUAGUGGGCUCUUCCAUCCCCAGUCAGGUGAAUAAGCUCAAAGGAUAUGUGUA